UAGAAGGUGAAUUUCAACCUGUGACUGAAGUGGACCUCUUUAUUUCUACACAGAGAAUAAAAGUAUUGAAUGCAGACACUCAGGAAACUAUGAUGGAUUAUCCUCUGAGGACCAUUUCUUACACUGCGGAUAUAGGGAAUAUAGUUGUUCUGAUGGCUCAUAGACAAAUGCUGCAAUCAAAUUCCCGGGACAGUGUGGAAGCAUCUCACCCUUCCCAAGAUGGAAAAAGGCAAUACAAAAUGAUUUGCCACAUCUUCGAGUCUGAGGAUGUUUUCUUCAUCUCCCACUGAAGUCAAUGGGAAGACCCCUCAACAUGAAUUGGACAGAACCACAAAAACAAGUGAAGUUGAGGGUGUAAAACACAGCAGGAAUCAGAAGUGUGAUAACUGUCUUCAAGACUGUUGAGUUUCCUCAGGCAACUUAUGGAAAGCCUGCACUGUAUAUAACCUACUAAAUAGUAUAUGGCAACAAUAAACCUCUGACCACAGAUGGAAACCAAGUGCUCAGCGAAAAUCAAAGUUUUCAUGGCUCUCAUCAACAGAAGUGUGCAUAUGUACAUACACAUCCAUGAAAUCUCUAGAAUAAAGUCCAGGUAUCAUUACUAGUCUCCAAACACAAUGCAGUGCACAGUCCAUUCCACAGUAAUUGAGAAACUAAUGGCUAUAAGCAUCACACCAUUCUCAAGUGAAAAGGAUGGUAUUUUUUUUUUCCCCAUAUGUGUUCUGGUCUUGUUUUUAAUCACACUGAGCCUUUACAUGGCAGAAACUGUUGCUUUCAGAAAAUUCAAGGCAUCAGCCUGGUCUGAAUAUAUGGUUCAAAUUCAGUGUAAACAGCAGUAUGCAGUAUGGACAGAAUGUAGAUAUACAAAAUGGAAUGUUUUCAUCUUGAGGAAAAAGAGCCAUCAGCUGCUUUAUUCUUUUACUGUUUUUCCCCUUUGUCCCUGAUAUAAGUUAUAGACCAGUCAAAUCCAGCAUUUCAUACAUCUCUACAUUUCUUCACACAAAUCCAUAUAGUACUCACACAUCCUCUAAGUGUCAUAUGGAAAAACAAAUCACAAAUUAACUUAUAUAACAAAAUAAAUAAAUAAAUUUAUUCCCACUUUACCUUUACUUCUCCUAUUUACAUCUAAAGAAAAAUGUCAAUAAAAACUAGAUGUCUUUCAACAAAAAAUACUUUUAAAAUGGCUCAGUGUAACAAAAUUACUUAGAACAGUGUGGAGACCUAUUAUUUUCAAGCACAAUUAUAAAUGUCAGUAUACACAAGCACACAAUUGUGUGCACCAAAUCUGUAAUUAAGAGCUUAGAAUGUAUAGCUUUUCAGCAGAGCCCCUCAGUAUUACUCUUGCUGGAUAUUUAGAGAUCACUCCUCUCCCCCCUCAUUUAACCUCUGAAAUGGGCAUAUAAAAGACUCACUGCAUUUGAAAAACAAGUAUUUUAAGAAUUAGAAACCUGGGGGACCCAACUGCAAAAAAUCACAUCUUCUGAAUUAUUUGCUGAAACAUGUCAAAAUUGCAUUGUCUGUACCAACUCA
This is a non-coding RNA of Phalacrocorax carbo (great cormorant), 1530 nucleotides long. The record is from RefSeq and is a predicted model, not a curated record. Lineage: Eukaryota; Metazoa; Chordata; Aves; Suliformes; Phalacrocoracidae.